Molecule: ribosomal RNA, 757 nt
Filed under: uncultured bacterium
Lineage: Bacteria
Description: bacterial SSU rRNA
Rfam family: Bacterial small subunit ribosomal RNA
Source: RNAcentral
AGAGUUUGAUCAUGGCUCAGAUUGAACGCUGGCGGCAUGCCUUACACAUGCAAGUCGAACGGUAACAGGUCUUCGGAUGCUGACGAGUGGCGAACGGGUGAGUAAUACAUCGGAACGUGCCCGAUCGUGGGGGAUAACGGAGCGAAAGCUUUGCUAAUACCGCAUACGAUCUACGGAUGAAAGCAGGGGACCGCAAGGCCUUGCGCGGACGGAGCGGCCGAUGGCAGAUUAGGUAGUUGGUGGGAUAAAAGCUUACCAAGCCGACGAUCUGUAGCUGGUCUGAGAGGACGACCAGCCACACUGGGACUGAGACACGGCCCAGACUCCUACGGGAGGCAGCAGUGGGGAACUUUGGACAAUGGGCGAAAGCCUGAUCCAGCCAUGCCGCGUGCAGGAUGAAGGCCUUCGGGUUGUAAACUGCUUUUGUACGGAACGAAAAGACUCCUUCUAAUAAAGGGGGUCCAUGACGGUACCGUAAGAAUAAGCACCGGCUAACUACGUGCCAGCAGCCGCGGUAAUACGUAGGGUGCAAGCGUUAAUCGGAAUUACUGGGCGUAAAGCGUGCGCAGGCGGUUAUAUAAGACAGAUGUGAAAUCCCCGGGCUCAACCUGGGAACUGCAUUUGUGACUGUAUAGCUAGAGUACGGCAGAGGGGGAUGGAAUUCCGCGUGUAGCAGUGAAAUGCGUAGAUAUGCGGAGGAACACCGAUGGCGAAGGCAAUCCCCUGGGCCUGUACUGACGCUCAUGCACGAAGGCGU